This 84-nucleotide microRNA precursor is filed under the name Bombyx mori (domestic silkworm). Its description in RNAcentral is "mir-2807 microRNA precursor family". It matches the Rfam family "mir-2807 microRNA precursor family". Lineage: Eukaryota; Metazoa; Arthropoda; Insecta; Lepidoptera; Bombycidae. The record is from Rfam by way of RNAcentral.
UUAAGCUAAGUACACAUGGAGUUAGCACGUUUGCGUACGUUUGCCGCUAGGGGCGCUGUUCUAACUCCAUACAAAUUUGAGUUA